UCGCCGACUUGAAAGUAAAUUGCGAAGAAAAGUAGAUUUGUAUUGAUUGUGAUGUGUAUAUCCUUCCAGACCUCGCAGGGCCUCUAUUUAUACCCUAAACCUUAAGACUUCUAGUCCUAGUCGAUUAUGACAAAACACAAGAUCUAUCUCUAAAGAAACAAACUUUCUAAACAAAACAAAAAUGACUCGUACAUGAGUUGGAAACGAACUUGGCUUCCACCAACCAAAACCUACUCUUCAUCGGCCGAAUCCCCAACAUCUCAAAUCGGUGGAAUCCUCCUGCUUGCAUCGGCUGACCCCAUCGGCUAUCCCCCUAUCAUC
Molecule: long non-coding RNA, 321 nt
Filed under: Setaria viridis
Lineage: Eukaryota; Viridiplantae; Streptophyta; Magnoliopsida; Poales; Poaceae
Description: long non-coding RNA (SVIR_LNC008832)
Source: RNAcentral